CCUACGGGAGGCAGCAGUGAGGAAUAUUGGUCAAUGGCCGGAAGGCUGAACCAGCCAUGCCGCGUGAAGGUCAGUGCCCUAUGGGCGUUAAACUUCUUUUGUGCGGGAGCAAUAAUGGUCACGUGUGGCCAGACGAGAGUACCGUACGAAUAAGCAUCGGCUAACUCCGUGCCAGCAGCCGCGGUAAUACGGGGGAUGCAAGCGUUAUCCGGAUUUAUUGGGUUUAAAGGGUGCGUAGGCUGUGAGGUAAGUCAGCGGUGAAAUGCCCGCGCUCAACGGGGUGAAGUGCCAUUGAUACUGCCUGGCUGGAAUGCGGAUGCCGUGGGAGGAAUGUGUGGUGUAGCGGUGAAAUGCAUAGAUAUCACACAGAACACCGAUUGCGAAGGCAUCUCACGAAUCCGCGAUUGACGCUGAUGCACGAAAGCGUGGGUAUCAAACAGGAUUAGAUACCCGAGUAGUC
RNAcentral lists this ribosomal RNA (460 nucleotides) under uncultured bacterium. Its description in RNAcentral is "partial 16S ribosomal RNA". It matches the Rfam family "Bacterial small subunit ribosomal RNA", at positions 338 to 795 of the family's 1533-position model. The record is from RNAcentral.